This 495-nucleotide ribosomal RNA is filed under the name uncultured bacterium. RNAcentral describes it as "partial 16S ribosomal RNA". It matches the Rfam family "Bacterial small subunit ribosomal RNA", at positions 28 to 507 of the family's 1533-position model. The record is from RNAcentral.
GACGAACGCUGGCGGCGUGCCUAAUACAUGCAAGUAGAACGCUGAAGGAGGAGCCUGCUUCUCUGGAUGAGUUGCGAACGGGUGAGUAACGCGUAGGUAACCUGCCUGGUAGCGGGGGAUAACUAUUGGAAACGAUAGCUAAUACCGCAUAAUAUUGACUAUUGCAUGAUAGUCAGUUGAAAGGUGCAACUGCACCACUACCAGAUGGACCUGCGUUGUAUUAGCUAGUUGGUGGGGUAACGGCUCACCAAGGCGACGAUACAUAGCCGACCUGAGAGGGUGAUCGGCCACACUGGGACUGGGACACGGCCCAGACUCCUACGGGAGGCAGCAGUAGGGAAUCUUCGGCAAUGGACGGAAGUCUGACCGAGCAACGCCGCGUGAGUGAAGAAGGUUGUCGGAUCGUAAAGCUCUGUUGUAAGAGAAGAACGAGUGUGAGAGUGGAAAGCUCACACUGUGACGGUAUCUUACCAGAAAGGGACGGCUAACUACGUG